This 84-nucleotide transfer RNA is filed under the name Parasedimentitalea psychrophila. RNAcentral describes it as "Parasedimentitalea sp. QS115 tRNA-Ser". The record is from RNAcentral. Lineage: Bacteria; Pseudomonadati; Pseudomonadota; Alphaproteobacteria; Rhodobacterales; Paracoccaceae.
GACUGAAAAAGAAAGGUAAAUAAGAACAUGAAUGACUCCCUCCUAAGGGGCAGGUUAUUGGUUCGAAUCCAAUCGGGGUCACCA